RNAcentral lists this ribosomal RNA (207 nucleotides) under uncultured bacterium. RNAcentral's name for it is "partial 16S ribosomal RNA". It matches the Rfam family "Bacterial small subunit ribosomal RNA", at positions 568 to 774 of the family's 1533-position model. The record is from RNAcentral.
CGCGUAGGCGGCCUGGGCAGUCCUGGGUGAAAGCCCCCGGCUCAACCGGGGAAGGGCCUGGGAAACCACUGGGCUGGAGUGCUGGAGAGGGAGGCGGAAUUCCUGGUGUAGCGGUGAAAUGCGUAGAGAUCAGGAGGAACAUCGGCGGCGAAGGCGGCCUUCUGGACAGACACUGACGCUGAGGCGCGAAAGCCGGGGGAGCAAACA